CCUGGGUCUGUGCAUUGACCUGGCUCACGGUGGCCUGCAGGUCAUUCCAGCUCAGGAAGUCCUCACCCAUCCCACGCUCCUGUCGCAAUUUCAGCAGGGCAUCGAAGUAACGCUGGGCAUUUUCUCCUUCCACCUCAGCCAGGCCUGUGGCAGGGUUCACCAGGCUGCUCCAGAAGCCACUGGCAUCCCGGGCCUCCAGGGCCCGGUUAAUCAGGACCACAGCUGAGAG
RNAcentral lists this long non-coding RNA (229 nucleotides) under Homo sapiens (human). RNAcentral describes it as "LNC_000179". The record is from RNAcentral. Lineage: Eukaryota; Metazoa; Chordata; Mammalia; Primates; Hominidae.